GAUGAACGCUGGCGGCGUGCCUAAUACAUGCAAGUCGAGCGAACAGACGAGGAGCUUGCUCCUUCGACGUUAGCGGCGGACGGGGGAGUAACACGUAGGUAACCUACCUAUAAGACUGGGAUAACUUCGGGAAACCGGAGCUAAUACCGGAUAAUAUUUCGAACCGCAUGGUUCGAUAGUGAAAGAUGGCUUUGCUAUCACUUAUAGAUGGACCUGCGCCGUAUUAGCUAGUUGGUAAGGUAACGGCUUACCAAGGCAACGAUACGUAGCCGACCUGAGAGGGUGAUCGGCCACACUGGAACUGAGACACGGUCCAGACUCCUACGGGAGGCAGCAGUAGGGAAUCUUCCGCAAUGGGCGAAAGCCUGACGGAGCAACGCCGCGUGAGUGAUGAAGGUCUUCGGAUCGUAAAACUCUGUUAUUAGGGAAGAACAAACGUGUAAGUAACUGUGCACGUCUUGACGGUACCUAAUCAGAAAGCCACGGCUAACUACGUG
RNAcentral lists this ribosomal RNA (497 nucleotides) under uncultured bacterium. Its description in RNAcentral is "partial 16S ribosomal RNA". It matches the Rfam family "Bacterial small subunit ribosomal RNA", at positions 28 to 507 of the family's 1533-position model. The record is from RNAcentral.